GGCCAUGGCCCAGAGGGUGAGCAUCUGCCUGGCAUGCCGAACGUCCCGGGUUCAAUUCCCAGCAGCAUCU
This 70-nucleotide transfer RNA is filed under the name Sphaerodactylus townsendi. RNAcentral describes it as "tRNA-Ala". Lineage: Eukaryota; Metazoa; Chordata; Lepidosauria; Squamata; Sphaerodactylidae. The record is from RNAcentral.